RNAcentral lists this ribosomal RNA (484 nucleotides) under uncultured bacterium. RNAcentral describes it as "bacterial SSU rRNA". It matches the Rfam family "Bacterial small subunit ribosomal RNA", at positions 501 to 987 of the family's 1533-position model. The record is from RNAcentral.
CUACGUGCCAGCAGCCGCGGUAAUACGUAGGGGGCAAGCGUUAUCCGGAUUCAUUGGGCGUAAAGCGCUCGUAGGCGGUCUGUUAGGUCGGGAGUUAAAUCCGGGGGCUCAACCCCCGUUCGCUCCCGAUACCGGCAGACUUGAGUUUGGUAGGGGAAGGUGGAAUUCCUAGUGUAGCGGUGGAAUGCGCAGAUAUUAGGAAGAACACCAGUGGCGAAGGCGGCCUUCUGGGCCAUAACUGACGCUGAGGAGCGAAAGCUAGGGGAGCAAACAGGAUUAGAUACCCUGGUAGUCCUAGCCGUAAACGAUGGACACUAGGUGUGGGGGAAUAUUUCUUCCGUGCCGCAGCUAACGCAUUAAGUGUCCCGCCUGGGGAGUACGGCCGCAAGGCUAAAACUCAAAGGAAUUGACGGGGGCCCGCACAAGCAGCGGAGCAUGUGGUUUAAUUCGAAGCAACGCGAAGAACCUUACCAGGGCUUGACAU